AGUCCCGCAACGAGGGGCAACCCUUGUCCUGUGUUGCCAGCGCGUAAUGGCGGGAACUCAUGGGAGACUGCCGGUGAUAAACCGGAGGAAGGUGGGGACGACGUCAAGUCAUCAUGGCCCUUACGGGUAGGGAUACACACGUGCUACAAUGGUCAGUACAAAGGGUUGCCAACUCGCGAGAGUGAGCCAAUCCCAUAAAGCUGGUUGUAGUCCGGAUGGAGUCUGCAACUCGACUCCAGGAAGUCGGAAUCGCUAGUAAUCGUGAUCAGAAUGCCACGGUGAAUACGUUCCCGGG
Molecule: ribosomal RNA, 295 nt
Filed under: Ferrimonas balearica
Lineage: Bacteria; Pseudomonadati; Pseudomonadota; Gammaproteobacteria; Alteromonadales; Ferrimonadaceae
Description: partial 16S ribosomal RNA
Rfam family: Bacterial small subunit ribosomal RNA
Source: RNAcentral